UACGAAGGGGGCUAGCGUUGCUCGGAAUCACUGGGCGUAAAGGGUGCGUAGGCGGGGCUUUAAGUCAGGGGUGAAAUCCUGGAGCUCAACUCCAGAACUGCCUUUGAUACUGAGGAUCUUGAGUACGGGAGAGGUGAGUGGAACUGCGAGUGUAGAGGUGAAAUUCGUAGAUAUUCGCAAGAACACCAGUGGCGAAGGCGGCUCACUGGCCCGUAACUGACGCUGAGGCACGAAAGCGUGGGGAGCAAACAGG
RNAcentral lists this ribosomal RNA (253 nucleotides) under uncultured bacterium. RNAcentral describes it as "partial 16S ribosomal RNA". It matches the Rfam family "Bacterial small subunit ribosomal RNA", at positions 524 to 776 of the family's 1533-position model. The record is from RNAcentral.